Molecule: long non-coding RNA, 854 nt
Organism: Canis lupus familiaris (dog)
Lineage: Eukaryota; Metazoa; Chordata; Mammalia; Carnivora; Canidae
Exons: 5
Source: RefSeq, a predicted model, not a curated record
GUACUGAUGCAGUCAUGUAAGAAAAUGGUCCCAUCCUCCCGGCUGCUUCUCGCACAUUGCCAUUAGAAACAUAUUGUAAAAGAGAGAGCGAGAGAGAUUUCCCUUCUAGCCUCAGGCUCCGUGGGUGGAGUCAGUAGGCAUCUCUAAGGUGCCAUCUGAGGGGGAAUCAGAAGCUUCCAUUCUCCAAACACCUUGUCAGUCUAGAUGACAUGAGAUGGUAAAAUGCCUACUUGAUACAAUGAAGAGAAGCGAACAACCCAGGCAUUGUGAUGUGGUGUUAGGCUACUACCGACUUUCUGAAGGAGGAGCAUCUGCUUCUGGAUGGUGUAUGACUUUGACUGCUGGUAACUGAAACCAGGAAAAGUGAAACCACAGGAACUUUUGUGGUUUCCUGGUGAGGCCAGAACACUGAGUCUGUCGCCUGCUUCCAUCUACAGAAAGUCUGAGUACUUGAUUAUCCUUGUCACUGUGUUCAUAUUGGCUAUAUCAGCAGGAAGCACUGGAGGAGUCGAAGAAGAGUGAGUCAAAUUGAAGAAUCCCCAAGAAGAAACCGAGACCAGAUCUCUUCAUGUUUUUAAUAUUUCCCAGCAGCGAUGGAACCACAUGAGAAAGAAAUAGAUACUGGUAGUAAUUUUGUAUUAGUGAUGGUGAUGGAGUACUGAAGGAAAAUCGCACUCAAAAUAUUAUGCUGUGAGUCAUGCAGUUUGGACUUAAGUUGUUGUGUGAGGGCAAAUGGGGUUCCAAAGGAUCUAUAAAUAGAAAAAUGAAUAUUGUUUUUGUAUUAGCCAUUUCCAAAGCUGUUGUUUUAUGCACUGACUUAUUCUCAGAGGUCAUUGCUAACAUUUGUUCAAUAA